Molecule: small nucleolar RNA, 125 nt
Organism: Nyctereutes procyonoides (raccoon dog)
Lineage: Eukaryota; Metazoa; Chordata; Mammalia; Carnivora; Canidae
Source: RefSeq, a predicted model, not a curated record
GCCUUGAGUUCAGUUCAGGGCAGCCCCCCUGCUUAGUAUUAAACUCUGGGACAUGACCAGGCAGGCUAGGGUAGAUGAUUACAUGGAGAAUAUUACUCUAUUCAUUUAUCUCCCAGCCUACAAAA